UCCGAGUUAACCCCGGCAGUCCCCCACGAGUCCCCAGCCGCCCCGAAGGACGCUGCUGGCAACAUGGGGUAAGGGUUGCGCUCGUUGCGGGACUUAACCCAACAUCUCACGACACGAGCUGACGACAGCCAUGCACCACCUGUACACCACCAAAAGAAACCACAUCUCUGCGGCGACAUGGUGUAUGUCAAACCCAGGUAAGGUUCUUCGCGUUGCAUCGAAUUAAUCCGCAUGCUCCGCCGCUUGUGGUUCAAUUCGACGCAACGCGAAAAACCUUACCUGGGUUUGACAUGUCGGUGGUAGGAAACCGAAAGGGGCCCGACCCCGCAAGGGGAGCCGACA
RNAcentral lists this unclassified non-coding RNA (342 nucleotides) under uncultured Actinomycetes bacterium. RNAcentral's name for it is "uncultured actinobacterium contains 16S-23S intergenic spacer region". Lineage: Bacteria; Bacillati; Actinomycetota; Actinomycetes. The record is from RNAcentral.